GAAGACAAGGAGGAGAAGGCAGAGGAAGCAGCCAGCAAGGCGAAGGAAGCAGGGCAUGCUGCCAAGGACAGCGCUGGCGGCAUCGCUUCUGAUGUGGGAGCAUACACCAAGGAGAAGGCUAGAAUUGCUAAAGACUCCCUAAAGGGUGCUAAGGAUUCUGUCUCAGGAAAGGUGAA
Molecule: long non-coding RNA, 176 nt
Organism: Phalaenopsis equestris
Lineage: Eukaryota; Viridiplantae; Streptophyta; Magnoliopsida; Asparagales; Orchidaceae
Exons: 2
Source: RefSeq, a predicted model, not a curated record